This 80-nucleotide small RNA is filed under the name Kaistella chaponensis. RNAcentral describes it as "Chryseobacterium chaponense Flavo-1 RNA". It matches the Rfam family "Flavo-1 RNA". The record is from RNAcentral. Lineage: Bacteria; Pseudomonadati; Bacteroidota; Flavobacteriia; Flavobacteriales; Weeksellaceae.
UUUUAGCCCCGAUUGAAGCGGCAUCCUUUUUUUGACGAGGUACGAGGAGAAAAAAGAUACAGCGGAAAGCGGGACCGACC